CUCGCCGAGGAUAGGGAUUAUGGUCACCCGGAGGACAUGUCAUUCUUGGACGGACUUCUUAGACGCAUUUGUGCUGAUGUCGGAGGAGGUUUGUUGCUCUUCGAAGUUGACUUGAACGUUGGAGAUGGAAAACGGCACCUUGUUUGUUGUCAGCAGAGAACAAUUCAUCACAAACACCUCCUCAUGACUCUUGUUUGGAUUCCCCUUGAAGGGGGUAACAAUAUUCCAGACAAAUGAGACUUCCCAGGCCAAAGUCUUUCCACGGCCAGGAAGACAGUGAUGAGGUCUCUAAGGGACGUCGCGCUUUGGAGAAAAAAUGUCAUUCUAGAGGCGUGGUAAUGGACUGCAAACACUGCUGCUGAUGUCAGACCGCCGUCAAACUGAGCCGGCGUUAAUGAUAUCGUCAUCCCUGACGGCUCAAGGCGGUGAAUGGAAAGAGCCAGGACGGUGAGGAGAUGCUGCCGCUUGUUCCAUCGCCGCAGGUACGCACCAAGCGU
Nerophis lumbriciformis (worm pipefish) is the source of this 497-nucleotide long non-coding RNA. RefSeq lists it as uncharacterized. NCBI's taxonomy places the organism in Eukaryota, Metazoa, Chordata, Actinopteri, Syngnathiformes, Syngnathidae. The record is from RefSeq and is a predicted model, not a curated record.